This is a non-coding RNA of Equus caballus (horse), 1975 nucleotides long. The record is from RefSeq and is a predicted model, not a curated record. NCBI's taxonomy places the organism in Eukaryota, Metazoa, Chordata, Mammalia, Perissodactyla, Equidae.
GGACCGCGGAGGCCGCGGCGCGUUUCCUGUCGGGCCACGGGGCGAGACGCCUGGCGCACUUUGUUGCCGAAGUUUCUGCGCCCAGAACUCGAACGGCGGACUCCACCCUUGAGGCAAGCGACGCUGCGGACCCCACAGGCUCUUCUGACAAUGGAGGCAGGAGAGUUUCAUAAUUUAAUAGAUCACCUGCUGUCCAGGGGACAUGAAUUCUCUGCAGUGGAUGUCCAGGAUACAUCCACAAUGGACCCUGCAUGGAAUGCCUGAAGAUGACAGAGCCCUGGGAAGUAGGAGGAUAAGGGACAGCAAAGCCAGCCUUCCUGCCUCUCCUGGCUGCUUCUACUGAAUUCACUUCCUGGCUUUCAGCAUUUACACAGGUGACCUGUGUGCCCCUAGCUUGGAGAUCAUGUCAUCUGUGCUAGAGGUCGUCGUACUUCUUCCUUCCCAAUCUGGAUUCCUUUGAUUUCAUGCUCUCACCUAAUUGCCAUGUCCGGAGCCUCCAGUAAAAUGUUGAGCACAAGCGGUGAGAGGACAUCCCGAGGUUGUUCCCGAUCAGAUGGAAAGCUUUCAGUCUCUCACCACUGAGCACAGCAGCCGAGGGUUUUCGUAAAUGGUCUUCAUCAGUUUGAGGGCAGUCCCUUCUACUCCAGGUGUGUUGACUGUUUUUUUUCUGUGUCUGUUGAGAGGAUCAGGUGGUUUUUGUCCUUUGUUCUAUUAGUGUGGCAUACUACAUUGAUUGAUUUUCACAUGUUCAAUCAGUCUUGCAUUCUUGGAAUAAAUCCCACUUGGUCCUUUUAUAUAUGUUGCUGGAUUUGAUUUGCGGGUAUUCACUUGAGCAGUUGUGCCUCUCUAUUCCUAAAAGAUGUUGGUUUGUAGAUUUCUUUUCCUGUGAUGUCUUUGUUGGGUUUGGUGUCAGGGUGAUCCUGGCUUUGUAGGAUGAGGUGGGAAGUGUUCUCUCUUGUUUUUCAUGUAUCUUUUAGUGCUUUCUCUUCACUGCAUCUUCAUGGUGUUGCUCUGUGCAACUGCCUUGCUCAGUGGGGUCCAGCGUUUGGCCCAGCCAUAUCCCUUGAAGUUUACAGUUUACUGCAUCAACCAUGCUUGGCCACAGAUAUCCAUUGGAUGUUGGUGCCUGUGAAGGGGUGUGUGGUGAGAGCCCCUCUCUGGGUAGAUAAAGUCAGUGUUCUGAAAGCCUGCACACCAGCUCUCAGGUUGUCAUCAGCAAGGCGUUGGGGGAGCUCCUGUUAUAAAAUUGCACAAGCCUCUUGGUUUGAAAUGCGUUUUUCUGGAUUUUUGUGAAAGCAUUUCAGGAUAAGGCCCAGUUAUGUCUAGGCCACACAAGAGCAAAGUACUGGAGCUGUCAUCCCUGCAGGAAGUGGGAGCCCACCUGAGAAGUUGCUCGAGACGAUGUCAGCCAAAUAUCAGAAGGGGUCAAGGGGGCGGGCUAAGGCAGAGUGUUCUAAGUGGCACCAUCUUGUCUGGGAGUCCACCAUCCUGUCACCAGCCCACUGAGCCAGACAGCCUGCAGGUGCCCCUGAAGUCCUAUUCCACAAACCACAUAGAAACCUGACAACAUGGAGAGGGUUCUUGGGGAAGAGGAUAUCUGUUUCAGUUGUGCGUUGCUGGCACGGAUUGUCAUCAUUUUGCUGUAAACAAGUUCACACCCUGUCACACCAACCUUUACACUUUCAAAGAAGUGGAAAGAGCAGAAGGACAAAGACCCCUCAGCCCCAGGAAUAAAUCAGCCUGGGGUGGGGGGUGGGGGGUUUGAUGGUCAUGUGAUGAGACCCAUGAUCUGCCUCCCGUGAUGUGGGGACUGGCAUGGGCUAGAUGCUCAGUCCACGCUACUUCUCACGGAUAUCCGCAAGUGGGGAGCUGCCGUUAGGGUCCCCCAGGGUCCCCCAGGCUUGACAGGUGCUCCUGUCUAGAAAGGGCUGUCAUUGGUGUCUGAGGGGCCCUAGGGAUGCCCCAAGCUGGAGGU